This is a long non-coding RNA of Rhinichthys klamathensis goyatoka, 613 nucleotides long. RefSeq lists it as uncharacterized. Lineage: Eukaryota; Metazoa; Chordata; Actinopteri; Cypriniformes; Leuciscidae. The record is from RefSeq and is a predicted model, not a curated record. The transcript has 3 exons.
ACUUAUCGUGAGUGUUGUCAUGUUUGUAUUUAAUUGCAAUCUCCAGGAAUUUCAAAGCAGCUGGAUAAAGUGUGCAAGUUGAAGGGUUGUGAGAAAAUACGUAAAUGGUUGCAUAGUAUAAAAAACCACAUCUAUUGGACUGCUGUAUCAUCAAGCAGUGGACCUGAAAGAGUGGCUAAAUGGACGUCUAUGCUAAACCAUAUGCAAAAUAAGCACACACAUGAAGACAGCAAUUUUCCAGCAUGUCUACAUGGAACAAGCAGAAGUCGAGACACAAAAAAGUGUCUAGCUGCUGGAACACUGCCAUAUUUCAAGUUGGAGAACAAGAGAAUUUUGAAGGAUGUUGCCAAGCUAAGUCCACACUACCAGACUUCUAUCAAGGUUUUCCACAGUGUAAUACUACGGUUUACACCAAAAAAUGCGUUUUUUCCAUUUCUGGGAAUGUUGUGCAGACUAUACCUGGCUGCACUACACUACAUUACAUGCCGGGCGUCCUCAAGCCACAACAGCAGCUAGUCGACCGGUGUUCAAAGGGACCUUUCCAAAGGCCAAGAAGGGAGAAUACCGGGUCAGAGAAGUGAAGACACAAGCAAACUUCAGUAUGUAUAAAAUG